This 501-nucleotide ribosomal RNA is filed under the name uncultured bacterium. RNAcentral's name for it is "partial 16S ribosomal RNA". It matches the Rfam family "Bacterial small subunit ribosomal RNA", at positions 355 to 848 of the family's 1533-position model. The record is from RNAcentral.
UGGGGAAUUUUGGACAAUGGGCGAAAGCCUGAUCCAGCAAUGCCGCGUGUGUGAAGAAGGCCUUCGGGUUGUAAAGCACUUUUGUCCGGAAAGAAAUGGCUCUGGUUAAUACCUGGGGUCGAUGACGGUACCGGAAGAAUAAGGACCGGCUAACUACGUGCCAGCAGCCGCGGUAAUACGUAGGGUCCAAGCGUUAAUCGGAAUUACUGGGCGUAAAGCGUGCGCAGGCGGUUGUGCAAGACCGAUGUGAAAUCCCCGAGCUUAACUUGGGAAUUGCAUUGGUGACUGCACGGCUAGAGUGUGUCAGAGGGGGGUAGAAUUCCACGUGUAGCAGUGAAAUGCGUAGAGAUGUGGAGGAAUACCGAUGGCGAAGGCAGCCCCCUGGGAUAACACUGACGCUCAUGCACGAAAGCGUGGGGAGCAAACAGGAUUAGAUACCCUGGUAGUCCACGCCCUAAAACGAUGUCAACUAGUUGUUGGGGAUUCAUUUCCUUAGUAACG